RNAcentral lists this ribosomal RNA (725 nucleotides) under uncultured Anoxybacillus sp. Its description in RNAcentral is "bacterial SSU rRNA". It matches the Rfam family "Bacterial small subunit ribosomal RNA", at positions 8 to 714 of the family's 1533-position model. Lineage: Bacteria; Bacillati; Bacillota; Bacilli; Caryophanales; Anoxybacillaceae. The record is from RNAcentral.
AGAGUUUGAUCCUGGCUCAGGACGAACGCUGGCGGCGUGCCUAAUACAUGCAAGUCGAGCGGACGAAUCGAAAGCUUGCUUUUGAAUCGUUAGCGGCGGACGGGUGAGUAACACGUGGGCAACCUGCCCUGUAGACGGGGAUAACACCGAGAAAUCGGUGCCAAUACCGGAUAACACGAAAUGUCGCAUGACGUCUCGUUGAAAGACGGCGCAGGCUGUCGCUACAGGAUGGGCCCGCGGCGCAUUAGCUAGUUGGUGAGGUAACGGCUCACCAAGGCGACGAUGCGUAGCCGACCUGAGAGGGUGAUCGGCCACACUGGGACUGAGACACGGCCCAGACUCCUACGGGAGGCAGCAGUAGGGAAUCUUCCGCAAUGGACGAAAGUCUGACGGAGCAACGCCGCGUGAGCGAAGAAGGCCUUCGGGUCGUAAAGCUCUGUUGUUAGGGAAGAACAAGUAACGCAGUAACUGGCGUUACCGUGACGGUACCUAACGAGAAAGCCACGGCUAACUACGUGCCAGCAGCCGCGGUAAUACGUAGGUGGCAAGCGUUGUCCGGAAUUAUUGGGCGUAAAGCGCGCGCAGGCGGUUCCUUAAGUCUGAUGUGAAAGCCCACGGCUCAACCGUGGAGGGUCAUUGGAAACUGGGGGACUUGAGUGCAGAAGAGGAGAGCGGAAUUCCACGUGUAGCGGUGAAAUGCGUAGAGAUGUGGAGGAACACCAGUG